UGGGGAAUAUUGCACAAUGGGCGCAAGCCUGAUGCAGCCAUGCCGCGUGUGUGAAGAAGGCCUUCGGGUUGUAAAGCACUUUCAGCGGGGAGGAAGGCGGUGAGGUUAAUAACCUCAUCGAUUGACGUUACCCGCAGAAGAAGCACCGGCUAACUCCGUGCCAGCAGCCGCGGUAAUACGGAGGGUGCAAGCGUUAAUCGGAAUUACUGGGCGUAAAGCGCACGCAGGCGGUUGAUUGAGUCAGAUGUGAAAUCCCCGGGCUUAACCCGGGAAUUGCAUCUGAUACUGGUCAGCUAGAGUCUUGUAGAGGGGGGUAGAAUUCCAGGUGUAGCGAUGAAAUGCGUAGAGAUCUGGAGGAAUACCGGUGGCGAAGGCGGCCCCCUGGACAAAGACUGACGCUCAGGUGCGAAAGCGUGGGGAGCAAACAGG
Molecule: ribosomal RNA, 429 nt
Filed under: Chloroflexota bacterium
Lineage: Bacteria; Bacillati; Chloroflexota
Description: Chloroflexi bacterium partial 16S ribosomal RNA
Rfam family: Bacterial small subunit ribosomal RNA
Source: RNAcentral